This 253-nucleotide ribosomal RNA is filed under the name uncultured bacterium. RNAcentral describes it as "partial 16S ribosomal RNA". It matches the Rfam family "Bacterial small subunit ribosomal RNA", at positions 524 to 776 of the family's 1533-position model. The record is from RNAcentral.
UACGUAGGGGGCUAGCGUUGUUCGGAAUUACUGGGCGUAAAGGGCGCGUAGGCGGCGCGGUAAGUCGGGUGUGAAAUCUUGGAGCUUAACUCCGAAACUGCAUUCGAUACUGCCGUGCUUGAGGACUGGAGAGGAGACUGGAAUUUACGGUGUAGCGGUGAAAUGCGUAGAUAUCGUAAGGAAGACCAGUGGCGAAGGCGGGUCUCUGGACAGUUCCUGACGCUGAGGCACGAAGGCCAGGGGAGCAAACGGG